GAUGAACGCUGGCGGCGUGCCUAAUACAUGCAAGUCGAGCGAACAGACGAGGAGCUUGCUCCUCUGAAGUUAGCGGCGGACGGGUGAGUAACACGUGGAUAACCUACCUAUAAGACUGGGAUAACGUCGGGAAACCGGAGCUAAUACCGGAUAAUAUAUUGAACCGCAUGGUUCAAUAGUGAAAGACGGUUUUGCUGUCACUUAUAGAUGUAUCCGCGCCGCAUUAGCUAGUUGGUAAGGUAACGGCUUACCAAGGCGACGAUGCGUAGCCGACCUGAGAGGGUGAUCGGCCACACUGGAACUGAGACACGGUCCAGACUCCUACGGGAGGCAGCAGUAGGGAAUCUUCCGCAAUGGGCGAAAGCCUGACGGAGCAACGCCGCGUGAGUGAUGAAGGUCUUCGGAUCGUAAAACUCUGUUAUUAGGGAAGAACAAAUGUGUAAGUAACUAUGCACGUCUUGACGGUACCUAAUCAGAAAGCCACGGCUAACUACGUG
This 497-nucleotide ribosomal RNA is filed under the name uncultured bacterium. RNAcentral describes it as "partial 16S ribosomal RNA". It matches the Rfam family "Bacterial small subunit ribosomal RNA", at positions 28 to 507 of the family's 1533-position model. The record is from RNAcentral.